CCCUCCUCCUCGUCUUGCCGCCACAAGGUAAGCCACUCCACGCCAUAUCCGUCGCCAACGCCAUGCCCAAGCUCUACUCUGGCGCGAUCAAGCUCGUCAUCGUCGUCUUCUUCCUCGGGGAGUGACGCACGCGUCCCCGACUUUGUCCCCGUCUCCGUCCCCGACCGAUUCUUAUGGGUGGCUGGACUGGAUCGCCUCCCACGCUGUCGUCCACGUCUUUGUCUUCUUCCUCUACCUCCUCUACGUCAUGAACGCCGGCUCCUCUGCUUCCCCGUCGUCGACCUCGUACGACUCCAACAGCACCCCCACGUUGCAGGUACAGGUUAUGCGAUGAUCAUGACGCAAGAGCGAUGCUUGUUUGCGUUGAGAUCUUCUUCUGCUCCUUCGAUCAGGGGAUAGGUUCCAGGUCGGUAGCCUGGGCUAGCAGGGUGGAUGUCGUUUGAGUUUCUGUUUGUGUUUCAUCCGUAGUCGGAUGAUCCUCUGAUGUAUUGUGAUGUUGUAUUCAUGUGGCAUCGAUUAUGUAAUGUUGAUGUAAUGAUAUCCACCUUGCAAAAGCGUUUCAAUAUGCGGGUCUAUCCUUGGUGGGACCUUCGAGUUCCUUUUGGAUAGGGUCGCAUAUUGGGCGUGACAAGUUGGUAAUCAGAGCCUCGACCGACCAUAGGAGCCCCCUUGAUUGUUGGCCGUUGUUGAGUCUAGAAGAAAACUAUUUUGAUUCUUAGGAUUAUAUAUAUCGGAGAGUAGGAUUCUUUUUACUCCCCAUCCCCUUCGUCGCUCUGGUGAGGUCUCCUGACGUAGAUGUUUUGACUUUCCUCUCCUCAAAUUUCACUAUUUUUUUAGGAUCACGCGGGUAUCUUGGAAUCGUUCCGAUGGUUUUGUGACGAGAACAUUGUUAUUGGUGCC
RNAcentral lists this ribosomal RNA (900 nucleotides) under Triticum aestivum (bread wheat). Its description in RNAcentral is "partial small subunit ribosomal RNA". Lineage: Eukaryota; Viridiplantae; Streptophyta; Magnoliopsida; Poales; Poaceae. The record is from RNAcentral.